Molecule: ribosomal RNA, 254 nt
Filed under: uncultured bacterium
Lineage: Bacteria
Description: partial 16S ribosomal RNA
Rfam family: Bacterial small subunit ribosomal RNA
Source: RNAcentral
CACGUAGGGGGCAAGCGUUGUCCGGAUUUAUUGGGCGUAAAGAGCUCGUAGGCGGCUUAGUAAGUCGGGUGUGAAACCUCCAGGCUCAACCUGGAGACGCCACCCGAUACUGCUGUGGCUAGAGUCCGGUAGGGGAGCGUGGAAUUCCUGGUGUAGCGGUGAAAUGCGUAGAUAUCUGGAGGAACACCGGUGGCGAAGGCGGCAUCCUGGACCGAUACUGACGCUGAGGAGCGAAAGCCAGGGGAGCAAACGGG